This 906-nucleotide unclassified non-coding RNA is filed under the name Hevea brasiliensis (rubber tree). Lineage: Eukaryota; Viridiplantae; Streptophyta; Magnoliopsida; Malpighiales; Euphorbiaceae. The record is from RNAcentral.
GGACCUUUAUUUAAUUCUUCAGGAUUUCUUUGGUUCGGUGGUUGUGGGUUUUGUUUGAUUUUGUGUGUGGGGACGUGUGAUGCAAAUUAGGAGAAAAAAAUUAGAGGGUAGAAUUGAUGCCGCCAGAGCCAUUGCCUUGGGAUCGAAAGGACUUCUUCAAGGAGAGGAAGCACGAUCGGUGGAGGGAGCCUACACCCCACCACCACUACACUUCUUCACGAUGGAAUCCUGAUUAUCGUUCUAGAGCCACUUCUGGUCAUGGUGGUAAGCAGGGUAGUUAUCACAUGUGUCCUGAAGAACCUGGACAUGGUUUCAUGCCUUCUCGUUCGAAUGAUAAGAUUGUUGAAGAUGAGAGCAAUCGGCCAUCUCGCGGGGAUGGUGGGAGAUAUGGAAGAAAUAGCAGGGAAAAUAGGUCCUUUGGUCAGAGGGACUGGAGAGGUGGUCACUCCUGGGAAGCUGCAUCCCCCAGUGGUUCUGCAAGACAGAACGAUGCUACAAAUGAUCAGAGGUCAAUGGAUAUUGCGGUGCCUCACAGUCUUUCUCAUCCUCAUUCUGAGCAUGUUAACACAUGUGAUCAAUCUCACUCCAGAGAGCAGCACAAUAAGAGUGGUAGUAUUAACGGAACUGCAAGCGUGGGGCAAAGAUUUGAGAGGGAGAGCUCGCUGGGGUCAAUCGAAUGGAGGCCAUUGAAAUGGACUCGGUCUGGAAGCUUAUCAUCAAGGGGAUCAUUAAGUCAUUCUGGUAGCUCAAAAAGUAUGGGAGUGGAUUCUAAUGAGACAAAGCCUGAAUUGCAGCUUGGAAACUCGAAAGCUGUUAAAUCUCUUACAGGGGAUGCAACUGCUUGUGUAACUUCUGCUACCCCCUCUGAAGAGACAUCUUCCAGGAAGAAACCGCGUCUGGGUUGGG